UCAUUAUCGUACAAAAUGUGUGAGGCGUGCAAGGGCUGUCGCUGACUUUUAACGCAAAAGUCGUGCACGCCGGAGUGUGUCCUCUCACAUAAAAUCCAUCUCACCCUUUUGUGCACCACCGCGUGGGCACCCUUCGGGAUCGCGAACCGGUCCAGGAGGGGGCUUGCGUUUUCACACAAACCCCUUUUUAAAAGUGUAGAAUGACCCCAUUUUUGCGAUAACACGCAAUCAAUACAACUUUCAACAACGGAUCUCUUGGCUCUCGCAUCGAUGAAGAACGCAGCGAAAUGCGAUACGUAAUGUGAAUUGCAGAAUUCAGUGAAUCAUCGAAUCUUUGAACGCACCUUGCGCCCCUUGGUAUUCCGAGGGGCACACCCGUUUGAGUGUCGUGAAAAUCUCAACCUUCUUGGUUUCUUCUGGACACCGAAGGAGGCUUGGACCUUGGAGGCCUUUGCUGGCGUCUCUCUCUUUUGAGAGCCAGCUCCUCUUAAAUGAAUUAGCGGGGUCCUCUUUGCUGGUCCUUGACAUGUGAUAAGAUGUUUCCAUGUCUUGGUUUCUGGCUCUGUUGCUUUUGGGACCCGCUUCUAACCGUCUCGACGAGACAACGUUCGAGCGCGUCUCCCUUCUCGGGAGACCCUCUCGACCUCACGAACCCU
RNAcentral lists this ribosomal RNA (656 nucleotides) under uncultured fungus from ectomycorrhizal root. RNAcentral describes it as "eukaryotic LSU rRNA". The stretch from base 236 to 389 matches the Rfam family "5.8S ribosomal RNA". Lineage: Eukaryota; Fungi. The record is from RNAcentral.